Molecule: ribosomal RNA, 492 nt
Filed under: uncultured bacterium
Lineage: Bacteria
Description: partial 16S ribosomal RNA
Rfam family: Bacterial small subunit ribosomal RNA
Source: RNAcentral
AGUGAACGCUGGCGGUAGGCCUAACACAUGCAAGUCGAACGGCAGCACAGUAAGAGCUUGCUCUUACGGGUGGCGAGUGGCGGACGGGUGAGGAAUACAUCGGAAUCUACUUUUUCGUGGGGGAUAACGUAGGGAAACUUACGCUAAUACCGCAUACGACCUACGGGUGAAGGCAGGGGAUCUUCGGACCUUGCGCGAUUGAAUGAGCCGAUGUCGGAUUAGCUAGUUGGCGGGGUAAAGGCCCACCAAGGCGACGAUCCGUAGCUGGUCUGAGAGGAUGAUCAGCCACACUGGAACUGAGCCACGGUCCAGACUCCUACGGGAGGCAGCAGUGGGGAAUAUUGGACAAUGGGCGCAAGCCUGAUCCAGCCAUACCGCGUGGGUGAAGAAGGCCUUCGGGUUGUAAAGCCCUUUUGUUGGGAAAGAAAAGCAGCAGGUUAAUACCCCGCUGUUCUGACGGUACCCAAAGAAUAAGCACCGGCUAACUUCGUG